RNAcentral lists this small nucleolar RNA (107 nucleotides) under Gossypium arboreum. RNAcentral describes it as "Plant small nucleolar RNA R71". It matches the Rfam family "Plant small nucleolar RNA R71". From Rfam's summary of the family: R71 is a member of the C/D box family of snoRNAs containing the C (UGAUGA) and D (CUGA) box motifs. The record is from Rfam by way of RNAcentral. Lineage: Eukaryota; Viridiplantae; Streptophyta; Magnoliopsida; Malvales; Malvaceae.
AACCCAUGGUGAGGGCAUCUUUGCUAAAGGUCCUUGUAUCUCUCACAUGCAUCGUAGAGUGUUUAUAAAUCCAUCUGCAUAAAAGAAGAGAUAUCAUUACGUAAUUU